GACUCAGUGGUCCAAUGGUAAAGCGUUCGCCGCGGAGCCAGAGGGUCCUGGGUUCGAUCCCUGAUGGGUUA
Molecule: transfer RNA, 71 nt
Filed under: Schistosoma japonicum
Lineage: Eukaryota; Metazoa; Platyhelminthes; Trematoda; Strigeidida; Schistosomatidae
Description: tRNA-OTHER
Source: RNAcentral